GAGUCCUCUUACCCCUCUGCCUGGCAUAGAACCCUACUGGGAAGGGCAGGAAAGGAGCAGCUGCAGGCCUCCAUCCUCCAGUCCUCUAUUUCUCCCUCCCAAGCACCUGAACCACUGCCUGUAUUUCACCAACACACCCUUGCACACCAGAGGUUAAUGUGCAGCAGCGGGUGUUCCUGCGUUCAGAAUUGCUUUUUGUUACAGUAUUGUUUUGUUAGUGGAUUUAACUUAUAUAAAUGGUAAACAUUGCACAGUCCUGGCAUAUUGUGAAGCUUAUGCACUUUGUGUUGUUAUUUGUAAUUGCUUUUACAGUGAAUUGUAAUAGUAGUUUGAGCUUUUAAUGAGAUAUCCUGUGCCAAAAAAUGUAUUAACUGUGGUACUAUAUUGUCUGACAAUCAUUCUUAAAUGUUCAGCUCAGUUAUUCCAGAAAGAUUUUGAAUUGUGUGACCUAAAAUAGCAACAUGUUUGUAUGCAUUUUUCAUGUGCCAUAGAAUCUCAGUUUGAAGGUUGUUUUAACUUAUUAUAAAGUUUAGGAGAAAUUAGCAUGGAAGGACAAGUACAGCCAGAAAAGGUUUAUUUUGGUGACCUCUUUGGUGGUCUGAUACCAUCUUCAUGUCAGCAAUCCUGAGGCCAUUAUCUUUCAUCACAACAUUUAGUAGGAAAACAACUUGAAAUGAUCAGCUGAUAAUGAUAAUUACACCUAAAACCCACACAAAAUCUUUGAUGUUUUAUCAUUGUUUUUUUCCUCGUCUUGCAAGAUGAAAGCACAGCCUUGUUGACAAGCAAAUCAAUAUCCGAUCAAACCGUCUGUGCAUUUAGUUUUCUUUUCAUUCUCUUAACGUAUUCUGUGUUCUAUAUUAUGCCUCUAAACUUUUUUUUCGAGCAAUGGUGGGGACUUUCUUUUGCUGAGAGUGUGUAUUGUGUGUUCCCUCUCCUUGGCUGGGGAAAAGACUGCUUUAUGGUGCACUGUAUUGUUGCUUGGAGCAGGCAUAACGUCAUUGCACCUGAAUGGUGGUUAUCAAUAGGCAGUUGCCAUGGAAACCAAGCUCCAUCACCGCAGCCAUUACAAGCGAAAGUGUGCAUGGUGUAAUGAUUCAGCAAAAACAAAGCUUCAGCCAUUACAUGUAUAUUUGUUACUGAAUAAAGUAUCAUGGCUCCAA
Long non-coding RNA from Carassius carassius (crucian carp), 1160 nucleotides. RefSeq lists it as uncharacterized. The transcript has 2 exons. NCBI's taxonomy places the organism in Eukaryota, Metazoa, Chordata, Actinopteri, Cypriniformes, Cyprinidae. The record is from RefSeq and is a predicted model, not a curated record.